GAUCAUGGCUCAGGAUGAACGCUGACAGAAUGCUUAACACAUGCAAGUCAAUGGGGAAACGGUGCUUGCACCGUGAUAACCAUGGCGGACGGGUGAGUAACGCGUAAAGAACUUGCCUCUUAGUCUGGGAUAACAGAUGGAAACGACUGAUAAGACUAGAUAUUAUUAAGGUUUCGCAUGAAGCUUUAAUGAAAAGAGAUGCUAAGAGAGAGCUUUGCGUCCUAUUAGUUAG
This 232-nucleotide ribosomal RNA is filed under the name uncultured bacterium. RNAcentral's name for it is "partial 16S ribosomal RNA". It matches the Rfam family "Bacterial small subunit ribosomal RNA", at positions 15 to 248 of the family's 1533-position model. The record is from RNAcentral.